Molecule: non-coding RNA, 474 nt
Organism: Myodes glareolus (Bank vole)
Lineage: Eukaryota; Metazoa; Chordata; Mammalia; Rodentia; Cricetidae
Source: RefSeq, a predicted model, not a curated record
AGGAGCAUCCAAACAGGGUCUAGUUUGCUGGAGGUGCUUAACAAGGAACUAUAAAAGCCAACAUUCAUUUUAAGACAGUCAUCCAACCCCCUUAUCAUGAUGAAGCUACUCACAUGUGUUGCCAAAGUAAUUAGAAACAAUUCAAAACUCCAAAUUGCCUCCAUUUACUAAGCUCUCUUCCAGUGUAGAAGAAACAUAAUGGACAGUGGAUCUCAGCUUCUUUGACUCCCUCAGAAGUCCUGUCACACGAGGAGAAAUGCCACGACAGGGGUAACAACGCUUUGACCAAAGCUUGAUGGGAGGGAUAAGUGUAAUCAGGUCAAGAGAGUGAAAAGACACUGUCCUUGGGAGGGAGGCAAGUGGAGAAUGUCCCCCAGUCUCAGCACACUGGAGAUGAGUACCGCGUACUGAAACACAGUGCCAUGUUUACGAUCCCAAAUUACCAUGAGAUAAAAGGCUCCUUACUACACCACA